Molecule: long non-coding RNA, 393 nt
Organism: Musa acuminata subsp. malaccensis (wild Malaysian banana)
Lineage: Eukaryota; Viridiplantae; Streptophyta; Magnoliopsida; Zingiberales; Musaceae
Source: RefSeq, a predicted model, not a curated record
CGCUCGCUCGCUCGUUCGCUCUGUGGAUGGUCAACAUAUUCCAUCUACCGAAAUCAUAUGCUGCUGCCGUGAACACCACCAGAUGCCAAGAAACACCUGUACCCUUGUCCAGCACAGAGUGCCUAGGAAUGUAAUGAUUCCAAAUCCCUGUUGAUCUGGCCACACCUAUUUGGUGGCAGAACCUGGCAUGAUUGUGCCUGUACAAGUGGUGACACCAAAUUGGAGGAGGAUGCAGCAGAGAAUAAAAUUAGUGUCAAUCAGCAACCCAGUCAAUCACAUUCCUAAUUGUUAUUGUCUUCUCAACCUCAUAAUUAUAUUCUGCAUGGGGGCCUAUAGAGUGUAACACCUAUCAUCUUAGGGAUGGAUGGAACAGCUCACUGAUUUAACUUGCUA